AUACUACUCCCUUCAUCUAGAAUUACUUGUCGUACAAAUGGAUAAAAAUCGAUGUAUGUAAGACUAAAAUACCAUCUAGAUAAAUCCAUUUCCGCAACAAGUAAUUUUGGACGGAGGGAGUAUCUC
Triticum aestivum (bread wheat) is the source of this 126-nucleotide non-coding RNA. The record is from Rfam. Lineage: Eukaryota; Viridiplantae; Streptophyta; Magnoliopsida; Poales; Poaceae.